Long non-coding RNA from Bombus huntii, 1703 nucleotides. RefSeq lists it as uncharacterized. The record is from RefSeq and is a predicted model, not a curated record. The transcript is spliced from 2 exons. NCBI's taxonomy places the organism in Eukaryota, Metazoa, Arthropoda, Insecta, Hymenoptera, Apidae.
UUCGCCAAUAAUCUGGUCGAAUUUAGUCAAGUAAAAUGGUAUUGUUUCGUUCAAAAGUUGAUUCUUCCUCGCUUCCUUCUUUUCAGGAUCCUCCUCCAUGCGAUAGUAGCAGAUAUCUGAAACGUAUAUGAAACCAACCGUUACGUUCAUUUGUGUUUUUCCCCCCAAACGAAGAGAAAAUAAGUUGUGAAAGAAGGAGUAGCCUCUCAUAGUUCCUACAAUUUCUUCAUUCUCUUUGCUUUCUUCAAUAUUGUCUCAACAAGUUCCUGUGGUUCACGAUACUUGAAAUAUAUACAAUGUUACCAGCGUGGAAAUUGUCUUGGAAACUUGGAAAAUCUUUCAAGAGGAACAACAUUGCUAACUGAGAUUCGAGAAAGGAAAGGUAUCUCAUGAUCAUGUGAUAACACACAGGAAGAAAAAAAUAGAGGAAAAAACAGCGUAAAAAAAAGUUGCGUACGAGUAUCGUCGCACUACAUCAUUCGACAAUUGAUGCACGUCAUGGCGAUCGUCACGGUUUAAAGCAGGCCAUCAAAAACACGUUUGUUAUCGUACGGAAAAAUCUGCGACGUUCCAGCUGUUCAGGUGCAUCGAAUUGUGAAUCAUCGGCGGUACGAAGCAAGGCGAGGGGCGUAAAUAGAGAAAGAAGAGAAGAGAAGGAUUCUCAUAAAUGAUAAAAUAUAAUCGUUCGUUCCUCGUCGAUGGCGGAUGGAUGGCUUUAAUCGUGGACGAUAUCGAUACGAUUAUAUUUUAUACAUUUGAAACAAAUAUAAAAGACGAGCAAAAACCAGAGAUACGAUCGUUAUGAUAUUAUUCAAUCGGUAGCCUAUUUACCUCGUUUUUUGUUCACCUUCUCUGUCUAGUAAUAAUUUUUCGAUUCGACUGGCGUGACGUUACGUUGGCGGUGUAAAAACACGAUUUUAAACACCUGCGGAUAGUUGCAUGAGUUUCGAGCGAUUCCAUUCCCUUCGAUUUAUAUUUAUGCGAUCAACGCGCGGAUCGUUAACGCAUUAUGCAGACAGCAGAUGUUACGUAAUCACACAUAUCGUAAUUGGAAAUUAGUAACGUUAUCGCGUACCAGGAUCUUCCUGUCUUUGAUCAUUGAGUAACACUUCGUUGUCCUCGCUCCUUCCGCGGAUAACCAGCGUUUAUCAUAUAGAGACAGGGAUUUGCAAAGAAUAAAAGUUGUAGAACGUUGAAAGGCGUUGAGAGAAACGUGAUGUUAUCCCGUUAUUCGUUAACGCAACGCAGUUAAAAAAAAUCCCGUAAGAAGAUUACGAUAAUAGAUAACCUGAGUCGAGUGUUUGUCGGGGGAUCUAAAAGAUUCUUUCGAGAUGAGCGUCUGAGAUCGCAGAGAAGAAAAUUUGGAAGCCAUCGAAUUCGUGAUGUCGAUAGAAAUCUUCAGUUGGAAUCGUUGUAUCAUAACGUAGUCUGCUUAUUGUCGAUAAGACUUUACUAAACUAAAAGUGACUACUAAAAGUUUCUAUCCUCUAAAUUCUAUCUACGAUUCUAUAAUCUAAAAACUGACUUUUGCAAACAAACUGUAACAUUCGCUUAACGGAAAGACAUACGUAUCUUGUUUGUACUCGUCUUUUCACAAUGAAUUCUUGAACGUCUGUCUCUGUGGUGACACAAAUGCAAAGUCAUCUCAUCAGUUACUCACCUUGCUCCAAAUCUUCAAGAGUAUCGACGAGCACUUCGCAUAU